CUCCCUCAUUCCCUCUCUGUUUCAUCUCUUUUUCUGUCUCUCUCCCAUCUCUCACUCUCUCUCUCAUUCCCUCUUUGUUUCAUCUCUUUUUCUGUCUCUCUCCCAUCUCUCACUCUCUCCCUCAUUCCCUCUUUGUUUCAUCUCUUUUUCUGUUUCUCUCCCAUCUCUCCCUCAUUCCCUCUAUAUUUCAUCUCUUUUUCUGUCUCUCUCCCAUCUCUCUCACUCAUCCCCUCUCUUUCACCACUUUUUCUGUCUCUCUCCCAUCUCUCUCACUCUCUCCCUCAUCCCCUCUAUCUUUCAUCUCUUUUUCUGUCUCUCUCCCAUCUCUCACACUCUCUCCCUCAUCCCCUCUAUCUUUCAUCUCUUUUUCUGUCUCUCUCCCAUCUCUCACUCAUCACCUUUAUCUUUCAUCUCUUUUUCUGUCUCUCUCCCACCUCUCACACUCUCCCUUAUCCCCUCUCUGUUUCACCACUUUUUCUGUCUCUCUCCCAUCUCUCUCACUCUCUCCCUCAUCCCCUCUGUUUCUUCUCUUUUUCUCUCUCUCCCUCAUCCCCUCUAUCUUUCAUCUCUUUUUUUGUCUCUCUCCCACCUCUCUCACUCUCUCCCACAUCCUUUUUCAUCUAUUUUUCUCUCUCACAUUCCCUCUCCCAUCUCUUUUUCUGUCACCCUUCCAUUUCUAUUAAUCUUCCAUCACUUUCUUCAUUUUUCCUUCCAUUUCUGUCCCACUCUCCCAUCUCUCUCUCUCUUCUACAUUCCACAUCCUCUCUUUCAUCUUUUUCUGUCUCUCCCAUCUCUUACUCUCUUCCACAUCCCCUCUCUUCCAUCUUUUUUCAGUGUCUCUUUCCCAUCUCUCUCACCCUCCCAUCUCUUUCUCUCACUUUCCCUCACUUUCUGUCCCACUCUCCCAUCUCUCUUAAUGCCUUCUAUAUCCAUUACCUUUUAGUGUCUCUCUUCCAACUUUUUGUGCUCUCUCCCACAUCCUCUCUAUUUCUCUCCCUCAUCCCCUCUCUUUGUUUGUGUCUCUCAGUUUUAGUCUCACUCUUACUUUACUCCUCUUUUUUUGUCUUACUUUCUCCUACAUCCCCUCUUUUGUCUCUCUUUCUUAUACCUCUUAUACCUCUCUUUCUUAUACAGGCUCUUUCCCAGAGCCUUUCUAUCUCAAUCUCACCUUCCAGUCUCCCAUACUCUCAUACAUCAGUCCCUCUUUCCUGUCUCACUCUUCUGACUCUCUAAGUUUCAUCUGCAUCCUUUGUUUCUCUCACUCGCUCCUUCUAUUUCUGUCUCCUUUUGCCUCACCCCCUUCUCUUCCAUGUCCCAUGUCUUUUACAUCUCAUCUUACUCUUCCCACCUCCUAUUUUGUGUCUCACAUCUCUACCUCCCUCCCCCUCCUCUCCUUCUUUC
RNAcentral lists this long non-coding RNA (1401 nucleotides) under Astyanax mexicanus (Mexican tetra). RNAcentral describes it as "lncRNA (ENSAMXG00005004615.1)". Lineage: Eukaryota; Metazoa; Chordata; Actinopteri; Characiformes; Acestrorhamphidae. The record is from RNAcentral.